AUACGGAGGGUGCAAGCGUUGUUCGGAAUCACUGGGCGUAAAGGGCGCGCAGGCGGUUUGGUAAGUCAGAUGUGAAAGCCCACGGCUCAACCGUGGAAGUGCAUUUGAAAUUGCCAGACUUGAGUACCAGAGGGGAAAGUGGAAUUCCCGGUGUAGAGGUGAAAUUCGUAGAUAUCGGGAGGAAUACCGGUGGCGAAGGCGACUUUCUGGCUGGAUACUGACGCUGAGGCGCGAAAGCGUGGGGAGCAAACAGGAUUAGAAACCCCAGUAGUCC
RNAcentral lists this ribosomal RNA (274 nucleotides) under uncultured bacterium. RNAcentral describes it as "partial 16S ribosomal RNA". It matches the Rfam family "Bacterial small subunit ribosomal RNA", at positions 523 to 796 of the family's 1533-position model. The record is from RNAcentral.